GCCUGGGUGGCUCAGUCGGUUGAGCGUCUGACUUCGGCUCAGGUCAUGAUCUCACGGUCUGUGAGUUCGAGCCCCACGUCGGGCU
RNAcentral lists this transfer RNA (85 nucleotides) under Felis catus (domestic cat). It matches the Rfam family "tRNA". Rfam says of the family: Transfer RNA (tRNA) molecules are approximately 80 nucleotides in length. The record is from Rfam by way of RNAcentral. RNAcentral also lists the same sequence under 2 other names. Lineage: Eukaryota; Metazoa; Chordata; Mammalia; Carnivora; Felidae.